CCUACGGGUGGCUGCAGUGGGGAAUAUUGGACAAUGGGCGAAAGCCUGAUCCAGCCAUGCCGCGUGUGUGAAGAAGGCCCUCGGGUUGUAAAGCACUUUCAGUGGGGAAGAAAGCCUUGGGGCUAAUACCCUCGAGGAAGGACAUCACCCACAGAAGAAGCACCGGCUAACUCCGUGCCAGCAGCCGCGGUAAUACGGAGGGUGCGAGCGUUAAUCGGAAUUACUGGGCGUAAAGCGCGCGUAGGCGGUCUGAUAAGCCGGUUGUGAAAGCCCCGGGCUCAACCUGGGAACGGCAUCCGGAACUGUCAGGCUAGAGUGCAGGAGAGGAAGGUAGAAUUCCCGGUGUAGCGGUGAAAUGCGUAGAGAUCGGGAGGAAUACCAGUGGCGAAGGCGGCCUUCUGGACUGACACUGACGCUGAGGUGCGAAAGCGUGGGUAGCAAACAGGAUUAGAUACCCGAGUAGUC
Molecule: ribosomal RNA, 465 nt
Filed under: Vreelandella stevensii
Lineage: Bacteria; Pseudomonadati; Pseudomonadota; Gammaproteobacteria; Oceanospirillales; Halomonadaceae
Description: partial 16S ribosomal RNA
Rfam family: Bacterial small subunit ribosomal RNA
Source: RNAcentral